AGUAACGGCGAGUGAAGCGGGAUGAGCUCAAAUUUAAAAUCUGGCUGGUUUACUAGUCCGAAUUGUAGUUUAAAGAAGCGUUUUCGGUGGCAGCCUGGGUAUAAAUCCUUUGGAAUAGGGUAUCAUAGAGGGUGAGAAUCCCGUCUUUGACUCAGAUUUUGCUACUAUGUGAUACGUUUUCAAAGAGUCGAGUUGUUUGGGA
This 202-nucleotide ribosomal RNA is filed under the name Mortierella sp. RNAcentral describes it as "partial large subunit ribosomal RNA". It matches the Rfam family "Eukaryotic large subunit ribosomal RNA", at positions 82 to 279 of the family's 3401-position model. Lineage: Eukaryota; Fungi; Mortierellomycota; Mortierellomycetes; Mortierellales; Mortierellaceae. The record is from RNAcentral.